CGCCAGAGAUGGCUUAGUGCUCGAAAGAGAACCGUAACACAGGUGCUGCAUGGCUGUCGUCAGCUCGUGUCGUGAGAUGUUGGGUUAAGUCCCGCAACGAGCGCAACCCUUGUCAUUAGUUGCUACAUUCAGUUGGGCACUCUAAUGAGACUGCCGGUGACAAACCGGAGGAAGGUGGGGAUGACGUCAAGUCCUCAUGGCCCUUAUAGGUGGGGCUACACACGUCAUACAAUGGCUGGUACAAAGGGUUGCCAACCCGCGAGGGGGAGCUAAUCCCAUAAAACCAGUCGUAGUCCGGAUCGCAGUCUGCAACUCGACUGCGUGAAGUCGGAAUCGCUAGUAAUCGUGGAUCAGAAUGUCACGGUGAAUACGUUCCCGGGUCUUGUACACACCGAAUCAGGCGCUUGGUCAGGGGGGAUU
RNAcentral lists this ribosomal RNA (420 nucleotides) under Variovorax sp. T11. RNAcentral describes it as "bacterial SSU rRNA". It matches the Rfam family "Bacterial small subunit ribosomal RNA", at positions 998 to 1418 of the family's 1533-position model. The record is from RNAcentral. Lineage: Bacteria; Pseudomonadati; Pseudomonadota; Betaproteobacteria; Burkholderiales; Comamonadaceae.